AUGACAUCAGAUCAUCAUAAAACCUUCCUAUCCACUGAGCCAUCUCUCUAGCCUCUGUGCUUCCUGCUCAGUAAACGUAAGCAAGCACCUACUCCUGAGCAAGCUGAGUGCAGGGACCGUAAGGGACCGUGGAUUCUGCUGUGCCUCUCACUUGGAGGAAAGUGACAGAAAGCCACUGAAUGAGCAUCUUACAUCGCAGCUCCCUUAGCCCCAGCCUAUAUUUUAAUGCUUACCCAUGAUUAACUUAAAAUUUCUUUAGUGACAUCAAAAUACCUUUGUCAUUGAUAUCCUGUCAUGUUUCUAUUCUGAUUUGAAGUAUGUCUCUAAUUCAUACUUAUUUUUCCCCUUAGAAUACUUUUGUUUUGUUUUGUUUUUAGAAAAAUCCUUCCUCUAUAUUUUGUCUGUUGGUUUGAUUUUAGGUACAUGAUAUUUAUUUUUAUAUCAAUAGAUACUAUGCCAU
RNAcentral lists this long non-coding RNA (460 nucleotides) under Mus musculus (house mouse). RNAcentral's name for it is "predicted gene, 47397". Lineage: Eukaryota; Metazoa; Chordata; Mammalia; Rodentia; Muridae. The record is from RNAcentral.